AGUGAACGCUGGCGGUAGGCCUAACACAUGCAAGUCGAACGGCAGCACAGUAGGAGCUUGCUCUUACGGGUGGCGAGUGGCGGACGGGUGAGGAAUACAUCGGAAUCUACUUUUUCGUGGGGGAUAACGUAGGGAAACUUACGCUAAUACCGCAUACGACCUACGGGUGAGAGCAGGGGAUCUUCGGACCUUGCGCGAUUGAAUGAGCCGAUGUCGGAUUAGCUAGUUGGCGGGGUAAAGGCCCACCAAGGCGACGAUCCGUAGCUGGUCUGAGAGGAUGAUCAGCCACACUGGAACUGAGACACGGUCCAGACUCCUACGGGAGGCAGCAGUGGGGAAUAUUGGACAAUGGGCGCAAGCCUGAUCCAGCCAUACCGCGUGGGUGAAGAAGGCCUUCGGGUUGUAAAGCCCUUUUGUUGGGAAAGAAAAGCAGCAGGUUAAUACCCCGCUGUUCUGACGGUACCCAAAGAAUAAGCACCGGCUAACUUCGUG
RNAcentral lists this ribosomal RNA (492 nucleotides) under uncultured bacterium. RNAcentral describes it as "partial 16S ribosomal RNA". It matches the Rfam family "Bacterial small subunit ribosomal RNA", at positions 29 to 507 of the family's 1533-position model. The record is from RNAcentral.